This is a long non-coding RNA of Dendrobium catenatum, 736 nucleotides long. RefSeq lists it as uncharacterized. The record is from RefSeq and is a predicted model, not a curated record. The transcript has 3 exons. NCBI's taxonomy places the organism in Eukaryota, Viridiplantae, Streptophyta, Magnoliopsida, Asparagales, Orchidaceae.
GAGAAAACUUAUGAAAAUCUGUAGCUUCUGGCAGUGAAGCUACCCAGGAGUGAGAGAGUGCUCUAUGUGCUGCGGUGUUUGUCUUCUUGAAGAUCCUGCAAAUGGCCCAUGCUUCCUGAUCAUGAAUAAUAAAUAAUUAAAGACAAGAGAUUUCUUCAGGCCUAUGCAUUUUACUCCCUCAGAUGAAUAGAUAGGCCUGUCUGUUCCCGUGGCUUUCCAAAAUCCUGCGCUGGUAACUCUGUUGGGCCUCGCACUGUUGCGGUAUUUCCUAUCCCUCGGACAGUAGAAGUACCAUUCCUUCUCACCCGUUGUUGCCAUCUCUGCUCACAAGCAAGCUAGCAUUUAGCCUUUUUUUUUUUAUUGAAAAGUCCACCCUGGAAGCGCUUGGGGAUGCAAAAGAUGUUAUUUGAAAGAGAUGGGAGCUGGGACAUAACUUCCAAGCCAAAAGACAAAAUAUUAGCUUGAUUAAAGGUAUGCAUCUGUACAGCUGUAGGAGAACUACGUGCACAUUCUUAUAUUAUUAUUAUUAUGCAACUUCAGCUAUGUAACUGUGUGGAAGGCAAGAAAGCAGCUUUGUUUUUUAAUUUUUUCUUGACUAAUCUUGUCAGAAAUCACCCACAUAUGCCAUACAAUAUGUACAAUCAUCAUGUUUCAUUUGUGUCUGAUAUAUGUUAGUUAGCUAAUGCUAUUUUUUUAUAUAUAUUUGAAAUAAAAUUAUCAUGCCAUAUUUGAAUUC